Molecule: long non-coding RNA, 599 nt
Filed under: Homo sapiens (human)
Lineage: Eukaryota; Metazoa; Chordata; Mammalia; Primates; Hominidae
Description: HSALNT0249379
Source: RNAcentral
GUGGAAACCACCAACCAAUUGGAAGGUGACUAGGGUGAAUAUAGCCCAAGGAACUUGCAAAACUCUUUGGAGGGCCAAGGAGUAAAGGACUUCAUUCAGGGUGUGACAUGGUGGGCCACACCCAUCAACAGAAUCUCAGCCAGGGCUUCAGAACUAAUGUAAAAAGUGAAAAAAUCUUAUAACUCAGUUACAAAGACUUAGUUUUACUGCUAAUAAUGAACGUGGAACUUAUAGUCCUUUGCCUUCUACUCUGUCCAAAUCUGAUGAGUUAUUUUAGCCUAGAAAGUUCCAUAAAAUGUAUACCACCAAAAAGAAAAAUUCUGACUGCAGGGAAGCAGUACACUCUGUAGACCCCGGAGAAAAAUAAAUCACCAUGAGAUUUGACAACAAUCAAUUUUUCACUGCACGCUAAUCAAGCAGAUAGAAAGAAGGCCAUGGGGUCUCAGCAGUCCCCUUUAGAAGAAGCGUGGGGCAUCACCCAAGUCUUCAGCACCAUCAAGGACGCCAACCCAGACAGCCAACUUCACCAUCCAUACUACUUGUCUUGCCUUCUAUAGCCUUUGGCUUUUAAAGCUUUUCCAGACCAUUAGAAACUGGCC